CCUACGGGUGGCAGCAGUAGGGAAUAUUCGUCAAUGGGCGCAAGCCUGAACGAGCAAUGCCGCGUGAAUGAGGAAGGUCUUCGGAUCGUAAAGUUCUGUUGAAGGGGAAAAAGAGCGGAGAGAGGAAAUGGUCUCCGAUUGAUAUUACCCUUCGAGGAAGUCACGGCUAACUACGUGCCAGCAGCCGCGGUAAUACGUAGGUGGCGAGCGUUAUCCGGAAUGAUUGGGCGGAAAGGGUGCGUAGGCGGCCUGCUAAGUCUGGAGUGAAAGGUACCGGCUCAACCGGUACAGGCUCUGGAAACUGGCGGGCUAGAGCGCAGGAGAGGGCGGUGGAACUCCAUGUGUAGCGGUAAAAUGCGUAGAUAUAUGGAAGAACACCAGUGGCGAAGGCGGCCGCCUGGCCUGUUACUGACGCUGAGGCACGAAAGCGUGGGGAGCAAAUAGGAUUAGAUACCCUGGUAGUC
This 464-nucleotide ribosomal RNA is filed under the name uncultured bacterium. RNAcentral describes it as "partial 16S ribosomal RNA". It matches the Rfam family "Bacterial small subunit ribosomal RNA", at positions 338 to 795 of the family's 1533-position model. The record is from RNAcentral.